AACCCGUAGAUCCGAUCUUGUGGUGAAGUACAGCGUGCAAGCUCGCUUCUAUGGGUCUG
This 59-nucleotide microRNA precursor is filed under the name Callorhinchus milii (elephant shark). Its description in RNAcentral is "Cmi-Mir-10-P2c_pre stem-loop". The record is from RNAcentral. Lineage: Eukaryota; Metazoa; Chordata; Chondrichthyes; Chimaeriformes; Callorhinchidae.